GCCGGGGUAGCUCAGUUGGUCAGAGCGGCGGUCUCAUAAUCCGCAGGUCUCGGGUUCGAAUCCCGACCCCGGUA
This is a transfer RNA of Planctomyces sp. SH-PL62, 74 nucleotides long. It matches the Rfam family "tRNA". Rfam says of the family: Transfer RNA (tRNA) molecules are approximately 80 nucleotides in length. Their secondary structure includes four short double-helical elements and three loops (D, anti-codon, and T loops). Lineage: Bacteria; Pseudomonadati; Planctomycetota; Planctomycetia; Planctomycetales; Planctomycetaceae. The record is from Rfam.